RNAcentral lists this unclassified non-coding RNA (274 nucleotides) under uncultured fungus. Its description in RNAcentral is "partial contains small subunit ribosomal RNA, internal transcribed spacer 1, and 5.8S ribosomal RNA". The stretch from base 1 to 73 matches the Rfam family "Eukaryotic small subunit ribosomal RNA", at positions 1759 to 1831 of the family's 1831-position model. The record is from RNAcentral. Lineage: Eukaryota; Fungi.
UCAAACUUGGUCAUUUAGAGGAAGUAAAAGUCGUAACAAGGUCUCCGUUGGUGAACCAGCGGAGGGAUCAUUACAGAGUGUAAAAACUCCCUAAACCAUUGUAAAUCUACCUGUUCGUUGCUUCGGCAGGCGGUCCCCGGGGGGAUCGUAGCCCGCGAGGGCGCCUGCCGGAGGUAUCAAACUCUUGUUUCAACUGUUCUCUGAGCACACUAUAAAACAAAUCAAAACUUUCAACAACGGAUCUCUUGGUUUGGGCAUCGAUGAAGAACGCAGC